GAUGAACGCUAGCGAUAGGCUUAACACAUGCAAGUCGAGGGGCAUCACGAAUUAGCAAUAGUUUGGUGGCGACCGGCGCACGGGUGCGUAACACGGUAUACAACCUACCUUCAAUUGGGGAAUAACCUGGAGAAAUUUGGACUAAUACCCCAUAGUAAGCAGAGGAGGCAUCUUUUUUGUUUUAAAGAUUUAUUGAUUGGAGAUGGGUAUGCGUAGGAUUAGCUAGUUGGUAAGGUAACGGCUUACCAAGGCAACGAUCCUUAGGGGUUCUGAGAGGAAGGUCCCCCACACUGGUACUGAGACACGGACCAGACUCCUACGGGAGGCAGCAGUGAGGAAUAUCGGUCAAUGGUCGAGAGACUGAACCAGCCAAGUCGCGUGAAGGAAGACGGCUCUAUGAGUUGUAAACUUCUUUUGUACAGGAGUAAAGUGAGACACGUGUGUUUUAUUGCAAGUACUGUACGAAUAAGCAUCGGCUA
RNAcentral lists this ribosomal RNA (479 nucleotides) under Bacteroidetes bacterium oral taxon 274. RNAcentral describes it as "bacterial SSU rRNA". It matches the Rfam family "Bacterial small subunit ribosomal RNA", at positions 28 to 499 of the family's 1533-position model. The record is from RNAcentral. Lineage: Bacteria; Pseudomonadati; Bacteroidota.